UACGGAGGAUGCGAGCGUUAUCCGGAUUUAUUGGGUUUAAAGGGUGCGCAGGCGGAUUUUUAAGUCAGCGGUCAAAUCGUGGGGCUCAACCCCAUCCAGCCGUUGAAACUGGGGAUCUAGAGUGUGCGAGAGGUAUGCGGAAUGCGUGGUGUAGCGGUGAAAUGCAUAGAUAUCACGCAGAACCCCGAUUACGAAGGCAGCAUACCGGUGCACAACUGACGCUCAGGCACGAAAGCGUGGGUAUCGAACAGG
Molecule: ribosomal RNA, 252 nt
Filed under: uncultured bacterium
Lineage: Bacteria
Description: partial 16S ribosomal RNA
Rfam family: Bacterial small subunit ribosomal RNA
Source: RNAcentral